UACGGGGGGGGCGAGCGUUGUUCGGAAUUACUGGGCGUAAAGGGCGCGUAGGCGGUUGGAUAAGUCAGCUGUGAAAACCACGAGCUCAACUUGUGGCCUGCAGUUGAGACUGUCUGGCUAGAGUGUGGGAGAGGGAAGUGGAAUUCCUGGUGUAGCGGUGAAAAGCGUAGAUAUCAGGAGGAACACCGGCGGCGAAGGCGGCUUCCUGGACCACAACUGACGCUGAGGCGCGAAAGCUAGGGGAGCAAACAGG
Molecule: ribosomal RNA, 253 nt
Filed under: uncultured bacterium
Lineage: Bacteria
Description: partial 16S ribosomal RNA
Rfam family: Bacterial small subunit ribosomal RNA
Source: RNAcentral